Molecule: non-coding RNA, 135 nt
Organism: Triticum aestivum (bread wheat)
Lineage: Eukaryota; Viridiplantae; Streptophyta; Magnoliopsida; Poales; Poaceae
Source: Rfam
UAGUUACUCCCUCCGUCCCAAAUUUCUUGUCUUAAAUUUGUCUAAAUACGGAUGUAUCUAGUUACGUUUUAGUGUUAGAUACAUCUGUAUCGAGACAAAUGUAAGACAAGAAUUUUAGAACGGAGGGAGUAGUAG